GCCGCAGUGGCGGAAUGGCAGACGCGUACGCUUCAGGAGCGUAUGGGGCAACCCAUAGAGGUUCAACUCCUCUCUGCGGCA
This 81-nucleotide transfer RNA is filed under the name Pseudomonadota bacterium. RNAcentral describes it as "tRNA-Leu". It matches the Rfam family "tRNA". From Rfam's summary of the family: Transfer RNA (tRNA) molecules are approximately 80 nucleotides in length. Their secondary structure includes four short double-helical elements and three loops (D, anti-codon, and T loops). Further hydrogen bonds mediate the characteristic L-shaped molecular structure. tRNAs have two regions of fundamental functional importance: the anti-codon, which is responsible for specific mRNA codon recognition, and the 3' end, to which the tRNAs corresponding amino acid is attached (by aminoacyl-tRNA synthetases). tRNAs cope with the degeneracy of the genetic code in two manners: having more than one tRNA (with a specific anti-codon) for a particular amino acid; and 'wobble' base-pairing, i.e. permitting non-standard base-pairing at the 3rd anti-codon position. The record is from RNAcentral. Lineage: Bacteria; Pseudomonadati; Pseudomonadota. RNAcentral also lists the same sequence under 1 other name.